UGGUAGUNCCACGCCGUAAACGAUGAAUGCUAGCUGUUAGCGAUAUACUGUUAGCGGCACAGAGAAAUCGUUAAGCAUUCCACCUGGGGAGUACGCCGGCAACGGUGAAACUCAAAGGAAUUGACGGGGGCCCGCACAAGCGGAGGAACAUGUGGUUUAAUUCGAUGAUACGCGAGGAACCUUACCUGGGCUUAAAUUGCAGUGGAAUAACGUGGAAACAUGUUAGCCUUCGGGCCGCUGUGAAGGUGCUGCAUGGUUGUCGUCAGCUCGUGCCGUGAGGUGUCGGCUUAAGUGCCAUAACGAGCGCAACCCUCAUCGAUAGUUACUAACAGGUUAAGCUGAGGACUCUAUCGAGACUGCCGACGUAAGUCGUGAGGAAGGUGGGGAUGACGUCAAAUCAGCACGGCCCUUACGUCCAGGGCUACACACGUGUUACAAUGGGGGGUACAAAGGGCAGCUACCUGGCGACAGGAUGCUAAUCUCAAAAACCUCUCUCAGUUCGGAUUGGAGUCUGCAACCCGACUCCAUGAAGCUGGAUUCGCUAGUAAUCGCGCAUCAGCCACGGCGCGGUGAAUACGUUCCCGGGCCUUGUACACACCGCCCGUCAAGCCAUGGGAGCCGGGGGGACCUGAAGUAUGCAACCGUAAGGAGCGUCCUAGGGUAAAACUGGUGACUGGGGCU
RNAcentral lists this ribosomal RNA (681 nucleotides) under uncultured prokaryote. Its description in RNAcentral is "bacterial SSU rRNA". It matches the Rfam family "Bacterial small subunit ribosomal RNA", at positions 788 to 1482 of the family's 1533-position model. The record is from RNAcentral.